This 484-nucleotide ribosomal RNA is filed under the name uncultured bacterium. RNAcentral's name for it is "partial 16S ribosomal RNA". It matches the Rfam family "Bacterial small subunit ribosomal RNA", at positions 30 to 507 of the family's 1533-position model. The record is from RNAcentral.
AUUGAACGCUGGCGGCAGGCCUAACACAUGCAAGUCGAGCGGAUGAAGGGAGCUUGCUCCUGGAUUCAGCGGCGGACGGGUGAGUAAUGCCUAGGAAUCUGCCUGGUAGUGGGGGAUAACGUCCGGAAACGGGCGCUAAUACCGCAUACGUCCUGAGGGAGAAAGUGGGGGAUCUUCGGACCUCACGCUAUCAGAUAAGCCUAGGUCGGAUUAGCUAGUUGGGGGGGUAAAGGCCUACCAAGGCGACGAUCCGUAACUGGUCUGAGAGGAUGAUCAGUCACACUGGAACUGAGACACGGUCCAGACUCCUACGGGAGGCAGCAGUGGGGAAUAUUGGACAAUGGGCGAAAGCCUGAUCCAGCCAUGCCGCGUGUGUGAAGAAGGUCUUCGGAUUGUAAAGCACUUUAAGUUGGGAGGAAGGGCAGUAAGUUAAUACCUUGCUGUUUUGACGUUACCAACAGAAUAAGCACCGGCUAACUUCGUG